UUAUGGCGUCAGGAUGAACGCUAGCGGCAGGCUUAACACAUGCAAGUCGAGGGGCAGCGCGGGGUAGCAAUACUCUGGCGGCGACCGGCGAAAGGGUGAGUAACGCGUGAGCAACAUGCCCGAUAGAGGGGGAUAGUCAUUGGAAACGAUGUGUAAUACCCCGUAACAUUCGGAACCGCAUGAUUCUGAAUUGAAAGAUUUAUUGCUAUCGGAUUGGCUCGCGUACCAUUAGCUAGUUGGCGGGGUAACGGCCCACCAAGGCGACGAUGGUUAGGGGUUCUGAGAGGAAGGUCCCCCACAUUGGAACUGAGACACGGUCCAGACUCCUACGGGAGGCAGCAGUGAGGAAUAUUGGACAAUGGCCGAGAGGCUGAUCCAGCCAUGCCGCGUGCGGGAGGACGGCCCUAUGGGUUGUAAACCGCUUUUGUUGGGGAGCAAUAAGUCUUACGUGUAAGAUGAUGAGAGUACCCAGCGAAUAAGCAUCGGCUAACUCCGUGCCAGCAGCGGC
RNAcentral lists this ribosomal RNA (508 nucleotides) under uncultured bacterium. Its description in RNAcentral is "bacterial SSU rRNA". It matches the Rfam family "Bacterial small subunit ribosomal RNA", at positions 16 to 518 of the family's 1533-position model. The record is from RNAcentral.